GACGAACGCUGGCGGCGCGCUUAACACAUGCAAGUCGAGCGAGAACCAGCCCUUCGGGGCUGGGGAGAGCGGCGAACGGGUGAGUAACACGUGGGUAAUCAACCCUCGGUACUGGGAUAGCCCGGGGAAACCCGGAUUAAUACCGGAUGGCCCUUCGAAUCCUCGGAUUUGAAGGAAAAGGUAGAUUCGGCCUCCGACCGAGGCCGAGCCCGCGGCGGGUUAGCUUGUUGGUGGGGUAACGGCCUACCAAGGCGACGAUCCGUAGCUGGUCUGAGAGGACGAUCAGCCACACUGGGACUGAGACACGGCCCAGACUUCUACGGAAGGCAGCAGUGGGGAAUCUUGCGCUAAUGCGGGAAACCGUGACGCAGCGACGCCGCGUGGGGGAAGAAGGCCUUCGGGUUGUAAACCUCUUUCAGGAGGGACGAAGCUACUCGGGUUAAUAGCCCAGAAGGUGACGGUACCUCCAGAAGAAGCCCCGGCUAACUACGUGCCAGCCGCCGCCGUAA
Molecule: ribosomal RNA, 509 nt
Filed under: uncultured bacterium
Lineage: Bacteria
Description: partial 16S ribosomal RNA
Rfam family: Bacterial small subunit ribosomal RNA
Source: RNAcentral